GUCCAUUCCAUGGACAUAUACUAAAAUUGGAACGAUACAGAGAAGAUUAGCAUGGCCCCUGCGCAAGGAU
RNAcentral lists this small nuclear RNA (70 nucleotides) under Soboliphyme baturini. The record is from RNAcentral. Lineage: Eukaryota; Metazoa; Nematoda; Enoplea; Dioctophymatida; Soboliphymatidae.